Molecule: long non-coding RNA, 446 nt
Filed under: Ricinus communis (castor bean)
Lineage: Eukaryota; Viridiplantae; Streptophyta; Magnoliopsida; Malpighiales; Euphorbiaceae
Description: long non-coding RNA (RCOM_LNC001165)
Source: RNAcentral
UCCUACUCGCUCAAUCACAAGUGAAAUAUAUAAAAGUAUGUUAGACAUUACAAUUCUACUCUAAAAUCUUCAUGAUACAUAUGAAUUAUGACAACUGGUGAGAUAUUAUGUAGCUGAUAUAACAAGAACAAAAUUCAACAAUUAAUUGCAUAUCAAAAAAUAAAAAUAUAUCAGUGUUAAUUGGUAGCCAUUCUUGGGAUCAUUAGUUGCUGUGUUUUUUAGCCCAUAAGAACCUUACUAACAGAAGAUAAGCUCCAGAAGAGAACUUUGGAACAUGCAUCUGCUCAAAUUCAGGAAGGCUGGAGAAGUGUCUUCGCUUCAGUCUGUGAAAGUGUUGUAUCCCCAACUCUGUGAAUUUCGAAAGUGGGACAUCUUGGAACACAUCAAUUUCUUCUAUUACAACAUCAUGCAUGCGCAUGUGAUAUUUUAUCAUUGCUUUAAGUUCU